Molecule: long non-coding RNA, 422 nt
Filed under: Citrus sinensis (sweet orange)
Lineage: Eukaryota; Viridiplantae; Streptophyta; Magnoliopsida; Sapindales; Rutaceae
Description: long non-coding RNA (CSIN_LNC002372)
Source: RNAcentral
CGGGAUAACUGUAGUUCUUCAAGUGGUGAUGGUGGAGUUUUUAAAGAAGUUUGCUGACACAGAGAGGUUGAAUUGGCAGCAAUGGUUAGCUUGUAUCGCAAUGGCAGCCUUCACAUGGCCAAUUGGUUGGGCUGUGAAGUUUAUACCUGUUACAGAGAAACCAAUAUUCAGUUACCUCAAGCGGUUAAGAUUCCUGAAGGAAGAUGCUUCUUUGUGGUAGAUUGUUUGCUUAAUCUUUGUGAAGUUUAUACCUGUUACAGAGAAACCAAUAUUCAGUUACCUCAAGCGGUUAAGAUUGAUAUUCACAAAGAUUAAGCAAACAAUCUACCACAAAGAAGCAUCUUCCUUCAGGCUCGGAACAGCAUGAGGUUUAUGGUGAGGUCCUGAACCGCCAAGGUCAUACCUGGGAAGAUUUAUAUCCC